CCUACGGGUGGCAGCAGUGGGGGAUAUUGCACAAUGGGGGGAACCCUGAUGCAGCGACGCCGCGUGGGUGAAGAAGUGCUUCGGUGCGUAAAGCUCUGUCAGCAGGGAAGAAAAUGACGGUACCUGACUAAGAAGCCCCGGCUAACUACGUGCCAGCAGCCGCGGUAAUACGUAGGGGGCAAGCGUUAUCCGGAUUUACUGGGUGUAAAGGGGGCGUAGACGGCGUGGCAAGUCAGGAGUGAAAGCCCAGGGCUUAACCAUGGAACUGCUCUUGAAACUGUGCUGCUGGAGUGCAGGAGGGGUAGGCGGAAUUCCUGGUGUAGCGGUGAAAUGCGUAGAUAUCAGGAGGAACACCAGUGGCGAAGGCGGCCUACUGGACUGUAACUGACGUUGAGGCCCGAAAGCGUGGGGAGCAAACAGGAUUAGAUACCCCAGUAGUC
RNAcentral lists this ribosomal RNA (440 nucleotides) under uncultured bacterium. Its description in RNAcentral is "partial 16S ribosomal RNA". It matches the Rfam family "Bacterial small subunit ribosomal RNA", at positions 338 to 795 of the family's 1533-position model. The record is from RNAcentral.